RNAcentral lists this transfer RNA (84 nucleotides) under Microcaldota archaeon. RNAcentral describes it as "tRNA-Ser". It matches the Rfam family "tRNA". Rfam says of the family: Transfer RNA (tRNA) molecules are approximately 80 nucleotides in length. Their secondary structure includes four short double-helical elements and three loops (D, anti-codon, and T loops). The record is from RNAcentral. Lineage: Archaea; Nanobdellati; Microcaldota.
GCGGGGGUCGCCUAGUGGCUAUGGCGCCAGCCUGCUAAGCUGGUGGCGCUUUGCGCCUCGGGGGUUCAAAUCCCCCUCCCCGCG